RNAcentral lists this ribosomal RNA (1122 nucleotides) under uncultured bacterium. Its description in RNAcentral is "bacterial SSU rRNA". It matches the Rfam family "Bacterial small subunit ribosomal RNA", at positions 353 to 1482 of the family's 1533-position model. The record is from RNAcentral.
AGUGGGGAAUAUUGCACAAUGGGCGCAAGCCUGAUGCAGCGACGCCGCGUGGGGGAUGACGGCCUUCGGGUUGUAAACCUCUUUCAGCACAGACGAAGCGUGAGUGACGGUAUGUGCAGAAGAAGCACCGGCCAACUACGUGCCAGCAGCCGCGGUAAUACGUAGGGUGCGAGCGUUGUCCGGAAUUACUGGGCGUAAAGAGCUUGUAGGUGGUUUGUCGCGUUGUUCGUGAAAUCUCACGGCUUAACUGUGAGCGUGCGGGCGAUACGGGCAGACUAGAGUACUGCAGGGGAGACUGGAAUUCCUGGUGUAGCGGUGGAAUGCGCAGAUAUCAGGAGGAACACCGGUGGCGAAGGCGGGUCUCUGGGCAGUAACUGACGCUGAGAAGCGAAAGCGUGGGGAGCGAACAGGAUUAGAUACCCUGGUAGUCCACGCCGUAAACGGUGGGUACUAGGUGUGGGUUUCCUUCCUUGGGAUCCGUGCCGUAGCUAACGCAUUAAGUACCCCGCCUGGGGAGUACGGCCGCAAGGCUAAAACUCAAAGGAAUUGACGGGGGCCCGCACAAGCGGCGGAGCAUGUGGAUUAAUUCGAUGCAACGCGAAGAACCUUACCUGGGCUUGACAUGCACAGGACGCCGGCAGAGAUGUCGGUUCCCUUGUGGCCUGUGUGCAGGUGGUGCAUGGCUGUCGUCAGCUCGUGUCGUGAGAUGUUGGGUUAAGUCCCGCAACGAGCGCAACCCUUGUCUCAUGUUGCCAGCGGGUAAUGCCGGGGACUCGUGAGAGACUGCCGGGGUCAACUCGGAGGAAGGUGGGGAUGACGUCAAGUCAUCAUGCCCCUUAUGUCCAGGGCUUCACACAUGCUACAAUGGCCGGUACAAAGGGCUGCGAUGCCGUGAGGUGGAGCGAAUCCUUUCAAAGCCGGUCUCAGUUCGGAUCGGGGUCUGCAACUCGACCCCGUGAAGUCGGAGUCGCUAGUAAUCGCAGAUCAGCAAUGCUGCGGUGAAUACGUUCCCGGGCCUUGUACACACCGCCCGUCACGUCAUGAAAGUCGGUAACACCCGAAGCCGGUGGCCUAACCCCUCGUGGGAGGGAGCCGUCGAAGGUGGGAUCGGCGAUUGGGACG